UGAGAUAAAGGCAAACCUGUUGAAAAGCAGGGACGCAAAGCCACGGGCCUAAAACCAUUACAGGUAAUGUAAUUGCAAGGCAGCCGGGCUACCAUGU
Regulatory RNA element from Anaerocolumna xylanovorans DSM 12503, 97 nucleotides. It matches the Rfam family "c-di-GMP-I-GGC riboswitch aptamer". The record is from Rfam. Lineage: Bacteria; Bacillati; Bacillota; Clostridia; Lachnospirales; Lachnospiraceae.